RNAcentral lists this unclassified non-coding RNA (299 nucleotides) under Hevea brasiliensis (rubber tree). Lineage: Eukaryota; Viridiplantae; Streptophyta; Magnoliopsida; Malpighiales; Euphorbiaceae. The record is from RNAcentral.
CUCUGCUUCCGUUGAGAGAUCAUUCUAUUGUACAGGAUUAGCUAAGAAGGCUGAAUAUAGCUCUGAAUCUGCAAAUUCGGGUUAUCGACUCUCCGUUUCCAGCAAAUAAUGCUUGGUUUCCGGUGAUGAGAGAUAAAAAUAAUCACCUUCUGUUUGUAACGGAUUUGCUAAUACAAAAUCAAAACAGAAAUGGAGAGAAAUAGAGAAGUUAGAAGAGUAAAUAUGGCUGCUGCAAAUGGUUUGGCGUCUAGAAGACGACAUAGAAGUGGGAGCCUAAGAGAUUCUCCAGAGGAUGAUGG